This 534-nucleotide ribosomal RNA is filed under the name Triticum aestivum (bread wheat). RNAcentral describes it as "partial small subunit ribosomal RNA". The record is from RNAcentral. Lineage: Eukaryota; Viridiplantae; Streptophyta; Magnoliopsida; Poales; Poaceae.
AUGGAAGGUUUACUCCACUGGGAUUUCAACCCCGGCCUCAAGGUCGAGGACCAGGUUCGUAGAAGAUUCAAAUCCACGGUCCAUUUCUCUCUCCCAUCUACAUCCAAGGAAUUUUUCUUGGUGGUCACCUUCUCUUCUGCCUCCUUUCCCCUUUCUUGUGCUUCGGUUGGUUUGGCUUUGCAAUGUUGCAUUGGAGGUCUUGCUUCUGGUUUCAACGUGACACAAAUUGGAGCAAAGAACUUCCGGUUCUCUGUGGCUUCGAAUAAGGUGGGCCAUUCAUCUAUGCCCUACGGGAUAGAGUCUGGCCAGACUUUGUUUGUCGUUUUGGUUUAUUCAAACAGCCAUGGAAUGCACCUUGUGAUGGGUCUGUGGGCUGGUGCACGCCACAUGAAAUCUCUUAGUUAUGGGCGAGAACACCCAGGGCAGUUCGUUCUAACCUUGGGUUUCUUGAGAACAGUGCUGCUAAGGAUGAUUCGUCCAGCCGUGAGUUGGCGAAGUUUGGUUUCUCCAAACACAUAUCUACUAAUCUACUGA